This 536-nucleotide ribosomal RNA is filed under the name bacterium enrichment culture clone TC60a_1462. RNAcentral's name for it is "bacterial SSU rRNA". It matches the Rfam family "Bacterial small subunit ribosomal RNA", at positions 28 to 490 of the family's 1533-position model. The record is from RNAcentral.
GACGAACGCUGGCGGCGUGCCUAACACAUGCAAGUCGAGCGGUCCGGCACUCAACUAAGUGCUUACUUAAGGGGAAGGAAGUAUAGUAGAAGAAGAAAGUAAUAAAAGUGGUGCAAAGUAAGGUAAGCACGGAGUUGAGUGCCGGAUAGCGGCGGACGGGUGAGUAACGCGUGGGCAACCUACCCUUAAGACCGGGAUAACACCUCGAAAGGGGUGCUAAUACUGGAUAAGCUCCUUGUAGGGCAUCCUAUGGGGAGGGAAGGUAGCGGAAGCUACCGCUUAAGGAUGGGCCCGCGUCCCAUCAGCUAGUUGGUAGGGUAACGGCCUACCAAGGCGACGACGGGUAGCCGGCCUGAGAGGGUGGUCGGCCACACUGGGACUGAGACACGGCCCAGACUCCUACGGGAGGCAGCAGUGGGGAAUCUUGCGCAAUGGGCGAAAGCCUGACGCAGCGACGCCGCGUGAGCGAAGAAGGCCUUCGGGUCGUAAAGCUCGAUAGUGUGGGAAGAAGUAGAUGACGGUACCACACGAAACGG